RNAcentral lists this long non-coding RNA (204 nucleotides) under Lathyrus oleraceus (garden pea). RNAcentral describes it as "Pisum sativum (pea) long non-coding RNA (PSAT_LNC020490)". Lineage: Eukaryota; Viridiplantae; Streptophyta; Magnoliopsida; Fabales; Fabaceae. The record is from RNAcentral.
AACUGCCGUGGUCAUGCUCACAAUCACUAAUGGUGCACAGAGUCUUAUGCAUCUCAACCAAAGAUCGACGAAUACGUCGCACAUCAAAUAAUCGGAAGCUUCCCGGACAUCCAUCUACCAUGUUAACAGAGGAAUUACCAUGAGCAGGCAAUGGGUUAGCUUUAACAUUUGGCGCACGGUCCUCAAAGGACACCAUCCCACUCU